Cervus elaphus (red deer) is the source of this 288-nucleotide long non-coding RNA. RefSeq lists it as uncharacterized. Lineage: Eukaryota; Metazoa; Chordata; Mammalia; Artiodactyla; Cervidae. The record is from RefSeq and is a predicted model, not a curated record. The transcript is spliced from 3 exons.
UCCCAUCAGCCUCUACCCAGCCCUCCUCCCACCUCCAAUCACUUUCUCUUCUGCAACUGCACUGAACAGGGGUUUUCAUCAAAGAGAACACAAGCCAGCACAAUCCAGGAAUGUGCUUUUAAAUCCACUUUUCUUUGAAGUGGAGAAUGACAAGACCAGUGUCUCUCUCCCGUCAUUCAAAAAAGCUUGACUGAAAAGCAGUGAACUUUCCCAAAAGUUACGAAGAACAGAGACAAACACCAAGCUGCCCCAUCAUCAAAUUGAAGCCAGCACAGCCAUGUAGGAGGC